GGACAAUUAAGUUCAAUUUAGCUUUGCAGCUGAUUUUUAAUUAUUGAUAUAUUCACAAAGCAGGCAGAAUGCUGUAGGUUUUGCUUCUUGUCCUGAUUUGGGUGCAUGCAGUUACUCCAGGUGGCAUCACAUGUGACAGGAUAGAGUCAGUCCCUUGCUCUCAGCUUUGGAAUUGGAGCAGUUCUGACCCCACAUUGUGAUCUGAGCAGACACUCAUUGCCAAAACAACCAGAUGCUCAUUUUGUUGUAUCUGUACAUGGUAUUUGCUUCUUACCCAAACAAAUUAUCCUAAUGGACCCAGGCCUAGCUUUAGACCUAAACACUAACUGCAGCCAGAAAGAAGAAAGUCAAGGGCAGAUCUGAGCUUUUUCUUAAGGUUUUGGUUGAGGUUUGACUUUUAUGUUUUGUUUUUGUUUGCGUUUUUCUUCCCCGCUUAGGUUUUACGCUCCUGAAAAAGUGAAAAAUUAUUGGAGGCAGUAGGAGCACAAGGAGCACAGUUUUAAAAGCUGAGAGCAAUGAAGAUGGUAGAGGAAGAAGACAGAAAUCUCCAAAGACACAGGUUGAAUGGUAAAGAUGGCCUGGUAGAAAAGACUCAGGAUAGCCUGAAAAUGCAAGGCCAAAUAAGGGGGAAAGUACUACUUUUGCAGUUUAGAAACUACCACAGAAGAAGGCAAAGCCAGAAGCUGGUGGUUUGACCUGUGGAUGCAAUUGAGAAAGUAUGCCUCGGUGGAGCUGAUGUGAAGCACUUGUUUAUGCACACCUUUAAAAUGUUAUAAUGAAAACAGAUCUAAUGUAAAGGAGUGCAUGUGUGAGACAGAGGGGAUGAAUUUUUAAACCUGAUCCUCUGAAGUUUUUGAGGAGUGACAUAGGCUGAGAGAACAGGAAGAAUACAGAGGUGCACUGUAUCAAAAUGCAGACCUGAUGAAGCUUUGUGAUGGAAAAAAAUUCUCUCUUCCCUUCAUACAUUUUAGGGUAGAAGUCGGAUCCCAAAACAUGUUAUUGUGACUUCUUGUUGUGACUUGUUGGUUAAUGGUGGAUUGUUUCCCAGGAACAUAGAAACUCUUUAGUCUGGAACAACAAAACUUCUAAAUAAAUAAUUGUGCAUUACAUAAGGCUUUCA
RNAcentral lists this long non-coding RNA (1120 nucleotides) under Phasianus colchicus (ring-necked pheasant). Its description in RNAcentral is "lncRNA (ENSPCLG00000000062.1)". The record is from RNAcentral. Lineage: Eukaryota; Metazoa; Chordata; Aves; Galliformes; Phasianidae.